AUACGGAGGGUGCAAGCGUUAUUCGGAAUCACUGGGCGUAAAGGACGCGUAGGCGGGAUGCCAAGUCUGAUGUGAAAUCCUAUGGCUCAACCAUAGAACUGCAUUGGAAACUGGUAACCUAGAGUAUGGGAGGGGGAGAUGGAAUUAGUGGUGUAGGGGUAAAAUCCGUAGAUAUCACUAGGAACACCUGCGGCGAAGGCGGGUAGCUGGGCCAACACUGACGCUAAAGCGCGAAAGCUAGGGGAGCAAACGGGAGUAGAUACCCGAGUAGUCC
Molecule: ribosomal RNA, 274 nt
Filed under: uncultured bacterium
Lineage: Bacteria
Description: partial 16S ribosomal RNA
Rfam family: Bacterial small subunit ribosomal RNA
Source: RNAcentral